UUGAGUUGCUAGUAAUAACUUUCAAUUAUUCAGUUAAUCAUGUUUCCUCUAUAUAUGUGACUCAGCUUUUCAGGUGUAUUCCACAUUGUCUCUACUAGUGAACUAGGAUAAUCCAUUGUGUAUCUCACCCUCCUUCACUACCCUGUGAAAGUCACAUGUGAGAAGAAGCAUCACAGAUGAUUCCAUGGGGAACAUCCCGGAAGUUCUCCAAAUGAGUGGAUUGUUUUCUUGCUUCGUCUUUCCCAUGAUUAUCCAAUGCCUACUCUCAAAGAAGCCCUCCAAAUCUUUGAUAUCAAUAGUCAACAUUCCUGAGGUUGCAGGCCUCCUGUGUUAUUUUGAAUACAUUGCUUCCACUUUGUGCCUUUACGGAAAGAAAAAUUUAGAAACACGGUGGUUAAAGGUGGACAUUCGGAUGGCAAAAUCACUAUGCCUAUAUCCACAUGUGAUUUUGUGUGGGUCAUGAAGAAGAGAAAGAACUGCAUUCAUGCAAAUAAAGUGGACAACAUAGUUAACAAUUCUUACUACUUUAUUUUCUUCAAGGUAAAAACCUAGCCGAUUCUUUUCUUCAGAAGACUUCAUUU
RNAcentral lists this long non-coding RNA (581 nucleotides) under Rhinopithecus bieti (black snub-nosed monkey). RNAcentral describes it as "lncRNA (ENSRBIG00000045418.1)". The record is from RNAcentral. Lineage: Eukaryota; Metazoa; Chordata; Mammalia; Primates; Cercopithecidae.